GAUGAACGCUAGCGGGAGGCCUAACACAUGCAAGCCGAGCGGUAGAGUUUCUUCGGAAACUUGAGAUCGGCGCACGGGUGCGUAACACGUGUGCAACCUACCUUUAUCUGGGGGAUAGCCUUUCGAAAGGAAGAUUAAUACCCCAUAAUAUAAUGAUUGGCAUCAAUUAUUAUUGAAAACUCCGGUGGUUAGAGAUGAGCACGCGCAAGAUUAGAUAGUUGGGGAGGUAACGGCUCACAAAGUCAAUUAUCUUUAGGGGUCCUGAGAGGGAGAGCCCCCACGCUAGAACUAAGUCAAGGACAAGACUCCUACGGGACGCAGCAGUGAGGAAGAUACGACAAUGGGUGAGAGCCUGACCCAGCCGUCCCGGGUGAAGGAUGACAGUACUAUGGAUUGUAAACUUCUUUUGGACAGGGAUAAACCGACCCUCGGGAGGGUAGCUGAAGGUACUGGAAGAAUAAGCACCGGCUAACUCCGUG
This 479-nucleotide ribosomal RNA is filed under the name uncultured bacterium. RNAcentral's name for it is "partial 16S ribosomal RNA". It matches the Rfam family "Bacterial small subunit ribosomal RNA", at positions 28 to 507 of the family's 1533-position model. The record is from RNAcentral.